GUCAUAUGCUUGUCUCAAAGAUUAAGCCAUGCAUGUCUAAGUAUAAGCAAUUAUACCGCGAAACUGCGAAUGGCUCAUUAUAUAAGUUAUCGUUUAUUUGAUAGUACCUUACUACUUGGAUAACCGUGGUAAUUCUAGAGCUAAUACAUGCUAAAAAUCCCCACUUCGGAAGGGAUGUAUUAUAGAUUAAAAACCAAUGCCCUUCGGGGCUCACUGGUGAUUCAUGAUAACUUCUCGAAUCGCAUGGCCUUGUGCCGGCGAUGGUUCAUUCAAAUUUCUUCCCUAUCAACUUUCGAUGUUUGGGUAUUGGCCAAACAUGGUUGCAACGGGUAACGGAGGGUUAGGGCUCGACCCCGGAGAAGGAGCCUGAGAAACGGCUACUACAUCCAAGGAAGGCAGCAGGCGCGCAAAUUACCCAAUCCCGACACGGGGAGUAGUGACAAUAAAUACUGAUACAGGGCUCUUUUGGGUCUUGUAAUUGGAAUGAGUACAAUUUAAAUCCCUUAAGGAGGAACAAUACGUUAUUCAGCUCCAUAGCGUAUAUUAAAGUUGUUGUGGUUAAAAAGCUCGUACUUGAACCUUGGGCCUGGCUGGCCGGUCCGCCUCACCGCGUGUACUGGUCCGGCCGGGCCUUUCCCUCUGUGGAACCCCAUGCCCUUCACUGGGCGUGGCGGGGAAACAGGACUUUUACUGUGAAAAAAUUAGAGUGCUCCAGGCAGGCCUAUGCUCGAAUACAUUAGCAUGGAAUAAUAGAAUAGGACGUGUGGUUCUAUUUUGUUGGUUUCUAGGACCGCCGUAAUGAUUAAUAGGGACAGUCGGGGGCAUCAGUAUUCAAUUGUCAGAGGUGAAAUUCUUGGAUUUAUUGAAGACUAACUACUGCGAAAGCAUUUGCCAAGGAUGUUUUCAUUAAUCAGGAACGAAAGUUAGGGGAUCGAAGACGAUCAGAUACCGUCGUAGUCUUAACCAUAAACUAUGCCGACUAGGGAUCGGACGGUGUUAUUUUUUGACCCGUUCGGCACCUUACGAGAAAUCAAAG
RNAcentral lists this ribosomal RNA (1036 nucleotides) under Persiciospora africana. RNAcentral describes it as "SSU rRNA". It matches the Rfam family "Eukaryotic small subunit ribosomal RNA", at positions 23 to 1103 of the family's 1831-position model. Lineage: Eukaryota; Fungi; Ascomycota; Sordariomycetes; Hypocreales; Nectriaceae. The record is from RNAcentral.